AGAGUUUGAUCAUGGCUCAGAACGAACGCUGGCGGCAGGCUUAACACAUGCAAGUCGAACGCCCCCCUCGGGGGGAGUGGCAGACGGGUGAGUAACGCGUGGGAACCGACCCAAUGGUACGGAAUAACUCGAGGAAACUCGUGCUAAUACCGUAUACGCCCUACGGGGGAAAGAUUUAUCGCCAUUGGACGGGCCCGCGUCGGAUUAGCUAGUUGGUGUGGUAAUGGCUCACCAAGGCAACGAUCCGUAGCUGGUCUGAGAGGAUGAUCAGCCACACUGGGACUGAGACACGGCCCAGACUCCUACGGGAGGCAGCAGUGGGGAAUAUUGGACAAUGGGCGAAAGCCUGAUCCAGCCAUGCCGCGUGGGUGAAGAAGGCCUUAGGGUUGUAAAUCCCUUUCAGCGGG
RNAcentral lists this ribosomal RNA (407 nucleotides) under uncultured Alphaproteobacteria bacterium. Its description in RNAcentral is "bacterial SSU rRNA". It matches the Rfam family "Bacterial small subunit ribosomal RNA", at positions 8 to 443 of the family's 1533-position model. The record is from RNAcentral. Lineage: Bacteria; Pseudomonadati; Pseudomonadota; Alphaproteobacteria.